GACGAACGCUGGCGGCGUGCUUAACACAUGCAAGUCGAACGGAAAGGCCCUGCUUGCAGGGUACUCGAGUGGCGAACGGGCGAGUAACACGUGGGUGAUCUGCCCUGCACUUCGGGAUAAGCCUGGGAAACUGGGUCUAAUACCGGCUAGGAGCCAUUUUGAGUGUGAUGGUUGGAAAGUUUUUUCGGUGUAGGAUGAGCUCGCGGCCUAUCAGCUUGUUGGUGGGGUAAUGGGCUACCAAGGCGGCGGCGGGUAGCCGGCCUGCGUAGGUGGCCGGCGAUCUUGGCUCUGACGGGCGGCCCCGGCACCGACUGUUCGCCGCUGGGGGGAAGAUUGCAGGAGCGGCGCCAGCCUGGUGCAGCGGGGCCGCGGGGGGUAUGACGCUCUUCGUGUUGUAAACCCCAUGCGCAAGGGACGAAGCUUUUUGUGACGGUACCUAGACAGGAAGCACCGGCUAACUACGUG
This 465-nucleotide ribosomal RNA is filed under the name uncultured bacterium. RNAcentral's name for it is "partial 16S ribosomal RNA". It matches the Rfam family "Bacterial small subunit ribosomal RNA", at positions 28 to 507 of the family's 1533-position model. The record is from RNAcentral.